GAUACAGUGUGAUAGAUAGGUUCGAUACAGUAUGAUAGAUAGGAUAGAUACAGUAUGACAGAUAGGUUCGAUACAGUAUGAUAGAUAGGUUCGAUACAGUGUGAUAGAUAGGAUAGAUACAGUGUGAUAGAUACAGUAUGAUAGAUACAGUGUGAUAGAUACAGUAUGAUAGAUACAGUGUGAUAGAUACAGUGUGAUAGAUAGGUUCGAUACAGUGUGAUAGAUAGGUUAGAUACAGUAUGAUAGAUACAGUAUGAUAGAUAGGUUCGAUACAGUGUGAUAGAUAGGUUAGAUACAGUGUGAUAGAUACAGUGUGAUAGAUACAGUGUGAUAGAUACAGUGUGAUAGAUAGGUUCGAUACAGUGUGAUAGAUAGGAUAGAUACAGUAUGAUAGAUACAGUAUGAUAGAUAGGAUAGAUACAGUGUGAUAGAUAGGUUCGAUACAGUAUGAUAGAUGUGAUAGAUAGGAUAGAUACAGUAUGAUAGAUACAGUAUGAGAGAUAGGUUAGAUACAGUAUGAUAGAUAGGUUAGAUACAGUAUGAUACAUAGGUUCGAUACAGUGUGAUAGAUAGGAUAGAUACAGUAUGAUAGAUACAGUAUGAUAGAUAGG
Molecule: long non-coding RNA, 611 nt
Organism: Oncorhynchus tshawytscha (Chinook salmon)
Lineage: Eukaryota; Metazoa; Chordata; Actinopteri; Salmoniformes; Salmonidae
Source: Ensembl